This is a long non-coding RNA of Candoia aspera, 290 nucleotides long. RefSeq lists it as uncharacterized. The transcript has 3 exons. The record is from RefSeq and is a predicted model, not a curated record. NCBI's taxonomy places the organism in Eukaryota, Metazoa, Chordata, Lepidosauria, Squamata, Candoiidae.
GCUUUUGUUUUGCUAGGGUUUUUUUUUUCUGAUUGGUGAUUCAGCUUGUACUGCAAGCUGCUCUUCCUGGUUAAACUUCUAAAGUUCCAGAGGAAGGGGGUGAAGAACAGCCUAAAGUCCACACCUGUCAACCCUUUGAGCUCCCAGGCUCUGUUCUUGGCACAGUUAGCAGGCUCUGGGAUUCAUGCUAACGAACCGGAACGUCUGUCUUUCCAACGUGCCGUGAAAACACUUGAUGAUGAAUCAAAAUGUUAUUAAACAAGAGCAAAAAUCCAAAGCAAAACAGCUAU